GCUUCUCAUUUUCCUCGACCAUUGAAGACCAUUGAAAACACGACAACUUUAGAAUAAGUACUAUCAAUGAAAUAAUCUUGUGAAGGCACUCACAUCUUAGAGUGUCGCCUUUCGAUCUUUCAUCGCCUUAAAAAGAUUAGAAACUGCAUUAUUGGUAAUGGUAGAAAAUAUAUAUUUCUCCACAUAGCAAAUUAGACAAUCAAUCAUGAAGUGAUCAUCCAUUUUCUAGCGCAACUUCUUUUUGAUAACAUCCAUAGCUGAAAAAACAUCUCUCGAGUGAUGUUGUGGCAACUGGUAAUAUCAGUACUAGAUUUAGAAGGUGAUGGACCAAAAGAAACGUAACAUGCUUAUUUGUUUGCAUCAUUAGUUUAGCCAGAUCAACAAUUUCGUCCAAAUUGGCAAACCUUUCAUCUGCUUGCACAUUGUCAAUGUAAGUGCAAAGUUCAGGAUCAAGAUCAUCCAUUUUUCUUGAAUCAAAGUCAUCUGGAUAAAACCCAGCUAGCUUCACUAAGCUAUCCAAGUUAAAAGCAGCAAAAUAUUCUUUUGGGUUGAAAGAAGCCAUGUGCCCAAGCAAUGCGUAAUUUACCUUAUUGAAGCGGUCAUCAAACUC
RNAcentral lists this long non-coding RNA (610 nucleotides) under Hordeum vulgare. Its description in RNAcentral is "long non-coding RNA (HVUL_LNC013620)". Lineage: Eukaryota; Viridiplantae; Streptophyta; Magnoliopsida; Poales; Poaceae. The record is from RNAcentral.